This 865-nucleotide long non-coding RNA is filed under the name Homo sapiens (human). RNAcentral's name for it is "HSALNT0345398". The record is from RNAcentral. Lineage: Eukaryota; Metazoa; Chordata; Mammalia; Primates; Hominidae.
CGAUCCUCUCAUCUCAGCCUCUUGAGUAGCUGGAACCACAGAUUGUUCAUUUGGUCGAAGUGUUUAACCCUCCCAGAUAGAUGAGAACCAUCCCUUGUCAAGGACAUGAGUGACUAUGAAGGCUGGCUGCAAACUCAAAAAAGGACUGAGUCAGAAGGCUCUGAGCUGCACGCCAGGGGGUUCACGAAGACUAAGAUAUAGAUCUGAUCUCAUGGAACUCAAUUUCUCUUAGAGGAAGCUGGCUGGACAAGAACUAAUUACAAUUUAGUUAAAUUAAAUUACUUACAAUUUAAUAAGUAUUAUGAUAAUGGCAUACACCAAGAUUUUGGAGAGCAGAGAAAAGAAUAGUUCAUUAUUGUUGUCCAGCAGGACUGUGAGAGUUGUCACAGAGUAGGUGACACCUGAGCUGAGUGUUGAAGGUUGGACAAGAUUUUCCCUUGUUAGGAGAUAACAUCAACAGGGAAUUGCAGACUUCAGACAGACCACAAUUUCCUUACUAUUCAAAAAGAGCCCCUUGAAUCUGUGUUCCAUGAUGCAAGAACAUGAGGGCAUAUGUUAAUACUGAUGCAGGAGGCUCAUUAAAUUCUAAUAUUGAAUAAAACUGAGACUUACAUAUGGGUAUGAUGCUGAUAUGGAGAAGGAAAAGAUAAACAGUAUAUGUUGAUUGCUACUAUUUGCCAAGUGCUUAAUAUAACUGAUCUCAAUUAAUCCAAACAGUCAGUUUAAGUGGGUAUUAGUACCUAUUCAUUUGUAAAGAUAAGAAAAAUGUUCAAAGUCACUCAGUAGUAGCAACCAAUAUUUAGACUUGGUCUUUCUGACUACAAAAAUCAAUGCAAUUUUCAUUGUCUAGUUUCCUCUAUGUGUC